Molecule: long non-coding RNA, 1156 nt
Filed under: Solanum lycopersicum (tomato)
Lineage: Eukaryota; Viridiplantae; Streptophyta; Magnoliopsida; Solanales; Solanaceae
Description: long non-coding RNA (SLYC_LNC000919)
Source: RNAcentral
UAUAAGAGGACCUGUCUCAUAAGGACUCAUAACCAUUCAACCAUAACAGCAUACGCGAGCCGACAAGGCCGCCACUAUUCAAAGCAUAAUAACAUACGUAAGCCGACAAGGCUACCACUACACAAUACACAAUGAUGUACGCAGCCGACAAGGCUGCCCCUGUACAAGCGGACAUCCCAAACAAACCAUGUCCAGACCAUUAUCCAAAACAUAUAUAUACAACCCACAUAAUGUCCACAGACCUCUAAGAGUACAUUAGUGAAACUCGACGGGACAGGGCCCCGCCAUACCCAUAGACGAGCAAAAGACUACACAAAAGUUAUGUACCAAAACGACUGGGCUCCGGAACAGUGGAGCUCUCCCAAUCAGCAGAGUAGAUAUCCUAGCGGGAGGAUCACCAAACUGUGCGUCUACACCUGCGGGCAUGAAACGCAGCCCCCCGAGGAAAGGGGGUCAGUACGGACAAUGUACUGAGUAUGUAAAGCAUAAGGUAAAGAUGACAAGAUACCAAUAUGGCUAGUCGAAACAAAAUAUCGCUACACAUGCACCCUUUUAAGUGAAAAUCAUGCAUAUCUUUGACAUAUAAGGUGCCCAGCUUCCCUAGUAAGGGGCUCGACAAAAUAAUCAUCACGUCAUCUCCGUCAUCAUCAUCAUCAUAACCAUCCUCAUCACCAAUCAUAUAUAUAAUAUACAUACCCGGCCCUCUAGUGAGGAACUCGGUGACAUAUGCAAGAAACUCCGCACGAACAUUACCCGACGCGGGACUCGGUGAAAUGAUAAAUGACUCUAUGCACGAGCAGAAUAUUAUGAGCAACCAUAUGCAAUUAAAAUCAUUUCUUAUAACUCAAUAGAACAAUCAAUGUGAACCAGCAAGGAGUAUUACCAAAGAUUAAUAUUUUAUCAAGAUUAUGAACCUUUAAUACGAUAUGGAAACGUAAAAUCUCAAUGACUCUAAGAAGCACUACCAUAGAUAUUAGAGAUCAUCAUAGCCUUUGACAUAGCCGAUAUAUAGAGGAAUAAUUGUGGGAUCAAGAACAUACGUCACCUAGACGUUCUAGAGGUAAGUAUCAAAUCAGUCCGUUAUUCGCUUAUUUUUAAAAGUCAUGCCAAACAAAGAAAGAAGGGACAGCGUUACAUACCGUAUAAUCGAGCCGCA